AGUGACUGAGGAUGCUAUUCGAUUUAUAUCUGAAAAUUGUGAUGGGGAUGCACGCGUUGCAUUGAACGCCUUAGAAAUCUCUGCUAUCACUGCAUCUGCCCGAACAAAUCCCAAUGAUAAUUUCUCUUUGGUGGCCAAUGUUACUUUGGAUGAUGCUAAGGAGACAUUUCAAUUCAAGCAUCUUGCUUAUGAUAAAGCAGGGGAAGAGCACUAUAAUCUGAUCAGUGCACUUCACAAGUCUAUGAGAGGAAGUGAUGCAGAUGCAUCCAUUUAUUGGUUGGCGCG
This 285-nucleotide unclassified non-coding RNA is filed under the name Hevea brasiliensis (rubber tree). The record is from RNAcentral. Lineage: Eukaryota; Viridiplantae; Streptophyta; Magnoliopsida; Malpighiales; Euphorbiaceae.